UGAGGAAUUUUGCGCAAUGGGGGAAACCCUGACGCAGCAACGCCGCGUGAGUGAUGAAGGCCUUCGGGUCGUAAAGCUCUGUCAAGUGGGAAGAACCUGCUCUGUGAUAACACCACGGGGCACCGACGGUACCACUGAAGGAAGCACCGGCUAACUCCGUGCCAGCAGCCGCGGUAAUACGGGGGUGCUAGCGUUAUUCGGAAUCAUUGGGCGUAAAGGGCGCGUAGGCGGUCUUUUAAGUCAGAUGUGAAAGCCCUCGGCUUAACCGAGGAAGUGCAUUUGAUACUAAGAGACUUGAGUAUGGGAGAGGGAAGCGGAAUUCCUGGUGUAGCGGUGAAAUGCGUAGAUAUCAGGAGGAACACCGGUGGCGAAGGCGGCUUCCUGGACCAAUACUGACGCUGAGGCGCGAAGGCGUGGGGAGCAAACAGGAUUAGAUACCCUGGUAGUCCACGCAGUAAACGGUGAACACUAGGUGUAGCGGGUAUUGACCCCUGCUGUGCCGAAGCUAACGCAUUAAGUGUUCCGCCUGGGAAGUACGGCCGCAAGGUUA
RNAcentral lists this ribosomal RNA (550 nucleotides) under uncultured bacterium. Its description in RNAcentral is "bacterial SSU rRNA". It matches the Rfam family "Bacterial small subunit ribosomal RNA", at positions 355 to 896 of the family's 1533-position model. The record is from RNAcentral.